GGCCGCCCGACAGCGUGUGACGUCACGGAUGGGCGGGCGCCAUUUUGAGGCGGUCCCUGAGGCGUGUGGGGUAUCGCGUGUGGUGCAACUAUCGCAGCAGCUGCCCAGGCAAGUAAAUGGAUAUCUUUGUCAGUUCUUACCAUCCUGCAGUGUUAUGGUCACCUUGAUAUUGCAUCGAGCAAAUCAAGUCCUAAACAUUGGUCAACUUUUUACCUGGGUGUGGUGGGGUACAAUAGAGCUACCACUUCCUAGAAUUGAAGGAUGGGGCAGGGCCUCUGGUGCUGAGCCUGAGCCCCCCCCCGUCUCCAAAUACUUGUACAGAAGUGCCUACAGAACUCCUGCUCUAGGUGACACCACAACCAAAGCCGCAGGGUAUUUCCCAGUGGUGCUUAAUGAACCUGAGUUCCUCAG
RNAcentral lists this long non-coding RNA (411 nucleotides) under Gallus gallus (chicken). RNAcentral describes it as "lncRNA (ENSGALG00010011122.1)". Lineage: Eukaryota; Metazoa; Chordata; Aves; Galliformes; Phasianidae. The record is from RNAcentral.